Molecule: ribosomal RNA, 532 nt
Filed under: uncultured bacterium
Lineage: Bacteria
Description: bacterial SSU rRNA
Rfam family: Bacterial small subunit ribosomal RNA
Source: RNAcentral
AGUAAAUAGAUACCCCGGUAGUCCACGCCCUAAACGAUGUCGACUAGGUGUUCGGUGAGGAGACUCAUUGAGUACCGCAGCUAAACGCGUGAAGUCGACCGCCUGGGGAGUACGGUCGCAAGAUUAAAACUCAAAGGAAUUGACGGGGACCCGCGCAAGCGGUGGAUGAUGUGGAUUAAUUCGAUGCAACGCGAAAACCUUACCUACCCUUGACAUGUACGGAACCCUGCUGAGAGGUGGGGGUGCUCGAAAGAGAGCCGUAACACAGGUGCUGCAUGGCUGUCGUCAGCUCGUGUCGUGAGAUGUUGGGUUAAGUCCCGCAACGAGCGCAACCCUUGUCAUUAGUUGCUACGCAAGAGCACUCUAAUGAGACUGCCGGUGACAAACCGGAGGAAGGUGGGGAUGACGUCAAGUCCUCAUGGCCCUUAUGGGUAGGGCUUCACACGUCAUACAAUGGUCGGUACAGAGGGUUGCCAAGCCGCGAGGUGGAGCCAAUCCCAGAAAGCCGAUCGUAGUCCGGAUCGCAGUCUGC